CCUAGCGGUUGUUAACGUUAGUAACUCCUUACUUUCGUUUUCAUUUUGACAUAUUUCCGGCGAAAAGAUGUUCCGAGUCGCGGACCCUCAACCAAAAAAGAGCGUCUCUUGUAUGACAGAGAAAAUUUCAAGAGAGCGUUUGAGGCCACUUUGAGGCCACUUUUGGUGGUGUUUCUGCGUACAGAGCCUCAAUGAUGAACGCUGUACCAGAAACAACCCUUAGGGAUAGAAUUAAAGGUCGCGUUGAUGUUGAGGCAAAAGUUGGACACGAGACCAUUUUCACAAUAGAGGAAGAAAAGAAGUUGUACGACCACGUGACCUAUAUGGUUGAAAUUGGAUUUGGGUACACCAAGAAAUCAGUACAGUAUAUGGGGAGAGAUUAUUGGUCUUUGGGAAAGACAAUAAAGCCGGACCAAAAUUGCCUUAGUGACAACUGGUUUUAUGGAUUUUGCAGAUAUAUCGGCUUUUCUGCAACCAAGUGAUUGAUUUUCAACAAGUACCGCGAUAUAGUGGGGUCCCAUCAUACCCUAUGUUGCAUACAGAAAAUAGACCUAUUGGUUGUUUGUUUUCAUCCUUAUUUGUUUUAGUUCAUUAAAUUUAAUUUAUUCUGAAAGAAUUUCAAUUUCUGAGAUUUUUUUAAAACUAAAAAUGGUCGCGAAGAAGUGCCAAGUAGAGGGAUUUUUGUGGUAACCACAUAUCGAGCUCUUGGAUUGUGUUUCACUCCCGAGUUCAUUGGUACAAGCUUGAGAGGCAGGACAUAAAUAGCAGAGGAGGCGGGAUAGCUGCAUUCAUUCGGGCAGAAAUUCCAGCACGCCGUCGUAGGGACAUGGAGUCUAAACACAUUGAAAAUAUUCUAUUCGAGGUAAUACUGAACUCUAAGUGGGCAAUAUCAUGUGUGUAUAGACCGCCCAAUAUAACUGACUGUGAUUUCUUUCAGAAUCUUACUAUUAUGUCAGACAAUAUUUUAACUAAAUUUGAUCACUUUAUGAUUAUAGGCGACCUAAA
This is a long non-coding RNA of Dreissena polymorpha, 1005 nucleotides long. RefSeq lists it as uncharacterized. NCBI's taxonomy places the organism in Eukaryota, Metazoa, Mollusca, Bivalvia, Myida, Dreissenidae. The transcript has 3 exons. The record is from RefSeq and is a predicted model, not a curated record.